UGGAUGGUUGUGGUUGGCAGGCUCCGUGCUCGUGCAUCGAACUGUUAACACUCUAUCUGCUUCAAUAUUUCCUCAAGUGAAGCUCUUUUCUUGUGGGUUCGUGUGGUAUCCUGUGUUGCUUGCCAAUGAAAUGGAAUUUCAUUGUCUUAUUAUACGGAUUCGCCUUGUGGUCUUUGGGGUGCGAGGUGGACAUGCGGUGAGCACCGUUUUCCUAACAUACCAAGUGCAUUUGGUGUUUGGUUGUUGUGGGCUAUGGUGUCUUUGCUUGUUCUCUUGGAUGCGGAAAGCUAAGUGUGGGUGCAAGGUCUUGACCUUGAAUCAUCCCAGCACUGUCUUUUAACUCGAAUGACUGCUGUGCUUGUCUUGAUCUUCCCGACCAAGGCCUUAUAACAGGGCUUACUGGACGAGGGUGGAUCAUGCAGGUGUCGGUGUCAAAGAGGAAAGCUAC
RNAcentral lists this unclassified non-coding RNA (448 nucleotides) under Melicope triphylla. RNAcentral's name for it is "partial contains 5' external transcribed spacer, ETS". Lineage: Eukaryota; Viridiplantae; Streptophyta; Magnoliopsida; Sapindales; Rutaceae. The record is from RNAcentral.